RNAcentral lists this long non-coding RNA (519 nucleotides) under Rhagoletis pomonella (apple maggot). RNAcentral's name for it is "uncharacterized LOC118735207, transcript variant X2". Lineage: Eukaryota; Metazoa; Arthropoda; Insecta; Diptera; Tephritidae. The record is from RNAcentral.
GGUAAUACGGCUUUCCUACGCCACCGUGAAUUACUUUGUUCGAUCCUCCAAUUACGAUCGCGAAUUACCCCUUUCCUACAGGCACAUUCUUAAUUCGAUUUGACAGUUCUCUAUCAUUGUGUUUUGUUUUUUUGUUAUUCGCUACAAAAUUUAUGCCAAAUUAUCGUAAUUCGAAGGGAAAUUGGAGUGCGAAUGAAGAAUGAGAGAGCAAACUACGUAAUUGGGGUGCCGUGAGAAAGCCGUAUUACACUGUUCAACUUUCACAGGCGGUGCUCCUGGCGUUGAAGGUGCUGAAGGCGGAAGGUACCCAUGGUGCUCCUGGCGAUGACGGAGCUGAGGGUAGAAGGUACUGGUGGUGUUCCUGGCGAUGAAGAAGCUGAGGGCAGAAGGUUCGAAUGGUGCUCCUGGCGAUGAAGAUGCAAGCGUUGGAGGUGCUGAUGGUGAAUCCCAAAUCUGUAAACAAACAAAAAUAUCAAUUAAAAUUUAUAAACAUAUAAAAGUCUCAAUACAUACCUUAAG